This is a small nuclear RNA of Pseudophryne corroboree (corroboree frog), 163 nucleotides long. RefSeq annotates it as U1 spliceosomal RNA. The record is from RefSeq and is a predicted model, not a curated record. The transcript has a single exon. Lineage: Eukaryota; Metazoa; Chordata; Amphibia; Anura; Myobatrachidae.
CUACUUACCUGCCAGGUGAGAUAUUAUGAUCAUGAAGGUGCUUCUCCCAGGGCAAGGCUCACCUAUUGCACUCUGGGUGUGCUUCCACUGCAAUUUCCCCAAUUGUGGAAAACUUGAUUGCAUAAUUUGUGAUAGUGGGGGACUGCAUUUGUACUUUCCCCUG